AGUCUGGCCUGCCCAAUGAUUUUUGAAUGGCCGCAGUAUUUUGACUGUGCAAAGGUAGCAUAAUCAUUAGUUUUUUAAUUGAAAGCUGGAAUGAAAGGUUUGAUGAGAAAAUAACUGUCUCUGCGUAAAUGUUUUUGAAUUUCAUUUUUGAGUGAAAAAGCUUAAAUUUUUUAUAAAGACGAGAAGACCCUAUAGAGUUUUAUAUUCAAUUUAUUUUAAUGGUUGAGGAUUUUAUUCUUUUAUUUUUGGUUGAUUAUUUUAUUGGGGCGAUGGAAAAAUUAAUAGAACUUUUUUUUGUUUAUAACAUUGAUUUAUGAAUAAUUGAUCCUUUUUUUUGGAUUAUAAGACUAAAUUACCUUAGGGAUAACAGCGUAAUUUUUUUUGGAGAGUUCUUAUCGAUAAAAGAGUUUGCGACCUCGAUGUUGGAUUAAAAUUAAAUUUUGGUGUAGAAGCUAGAAUUUUAGGUCUGUUCGACCUUUGAAAUUUU
Molecule: ribosomal RNA, 487 nt
Filed under: Pimelia hemisphaerica
Lineage: Eukaryota; Metazoa; Arthropoda; Insecta; Coleoptera; Tenebrionidae
Description: partial large subunit ribosomal RNA
Rfam family: Bacterial large subunit ribosomal RNA
Source: RNAcentral